UACGUAGGGUGCAAGCGUUGUCCGGAAUUAUGGGGCGUAAAGAGCUCGUAGGCGGUUUGUCGCGUCUGCUGUGAAAACUCGGGGCUUAACCCCGGGCCUGCAGUGGGUACGGGCAGACUAGAGUGCGGUAGGGGAGACUGGAAUUCCUGGUGUAGCGGUGAAAUGCGCAGAUAUCAGGAGGAACACCGGUGGCGAAGGCGGGUCUCUGGGCCGUAACGGACGCUGAGGAGCGAAAGCGUGGGGAGCGAACAGG
This 253-nucleotide ribosomal RNA is filed under the name uncultured bacterium. Its description in RNAcentral is "partial 16S ribosomal RNA". It matches the Rfam family "Bacterial small subunit ribosomal RNA", at positions 524 to 776 of the family's 1533-position model. The record is from RNAcentral.